AUACUUAACCUGGCAGGGGUGAUCAUGAAGGUGGUUUCCCCAGAGUGAGGCCCAUCCAUUGCACUCCUGAUGGGCCUGAGAUUUCCCCCAAAAUGAGGAACUUGAGAGAAUAAUUCGAAGCAGUUGGGGACUGUGUUUGUACUCUCCUCUG
Molecule: small nuclear RNA, 151 nt
Filed under: Phascolarctos cinereus (koala)
Lineage: Eukaryota; Metazoa; Chordata; Mammalia; Diprotodontia; Phascolarctidae
Description: U1 spliceosomal RNA (ENSPCIG00000019232.2)
Rfam family: U1 spliceosomal RNA
About the family: U1 is a small nuclear RNA (snRNA) component of the spliceosome (involved in pre-mRNA splicing).
Source: RNAcentral